RNAcentral lists this ribosomal RNA (281 nucleotides) under uncultured bacterium. RNAcentral's name for it is "partial 16S ribosomal RNA". It matches the Rfam family "Bacterial small subunit ribosomal RNA", at positions 334 to 612 of the family's 1533-position model. The record is from RNAcentral.
GUUGCCUACGGGACGCAGCAGUGAGGAAUAUUGGUCAAUGGGCGGGAGCCUGAACCAGCCAAGCCGCGUGAGGGAAGAAGGUACAGCGUAUCGUAAACCUCUUUUGUCAGGGAACAAAGGCGGGGACUAGUCCCCGGAUGAGGGUACCUGAAGAAAAAGCAUCGGCUAACUCCGUGCCAGCAGCCGCGGUAAUACGGAGGAUGCGAGCGUUAUCCGGAUUUAUUGGGUUUAAAGGGUGCGUAGGCGGACUGUUAAGUCAGCGGUAAAAGACCGGGGCUCAA